UUACUUAUGCUACAGAGGAAGAAAAAUCAAGAUUCAUUCACCCCUCUUCAGUUGUUCAUCCAAAUGCCAUUUUGGGUGAGGGUGUUUCAAUUGGUCCCUUCUGUACCGUUGGGCCUUUCGCGAAGUUAGGGAGUGCUUGUCAACUGUACCCAGGAAGCCACAUCUUUGGAAAUACUGAACUAGGGGACAAUUGCAUCCUGAUGACUGGUGCUGUAAUUGGAGAUGAUCUUCCUGGUCAUACAGUCGUCGGGAGAAACAAUGUUUUUGGGCAUCACGCUGUAAUUGGUAUCAAGUGCCAGGACAUGAAAUAUAAGUUUGG
RNAcentral lists this unclassified non-coding RNA (319 nucleotides) under Hevea brasiliensis (rubber tree). Lineage: Eukaryota; Viridiplantae; Streptophyta; Magnoliopsida; Malpighiales; Euphorbiaceae. The record is from RNAcentral.